This 116-nucleotide ribosomal RNA is filed under the name Pectobacterium carotovorum. Lineage: Bacteria; Pseudomonadati; Pseudomonadota; Gammaproteobacteria; Enterobacterales; Pectobacteriaceae. The record is from RNAcentral. RNAcentral also lists the same sequence under 7 other names.
CCUGGCGGCGAUAGCGCGGUGGUCCCACCUGACCCCAUGCCGAACUCAGAAGUGAAACGCCGUAGCGCCGAUGGUAGUGUGGGGUUUCCCCAUGUGAGAGUAGGGAACUGCCAGGU